RNAcentral lists this ribosomal RNA (442 nucleotides) under uncultured bacterium. Its description in RNAcentral is "bacterial SSU rRNA". It matches the Rfam family "Bacterial small subunit ribosomal RNA", at positions 28 to 507 of the family's 1533-position model. The record is from RNAcentral.
GACGAACGCUGGCGGCAGGCUUAACACAUGCAAGUCGAACGAGAAGCUGACUUCGGUCAGUGGAAAGUGGCAGACGGGUGAGUAACGCGUGGGAACGUACCUCUUGGUUCGGAACAACUCAGGGAAACUUGAGCUAAUGCCGGAUAAGCCCUCCGGGGGAAAGAUUUAUCGCCGAGAGAUCGGCCCGCGUUAGAUUAGCUUGUUGGUGGGUAAAAGCCCACCAAGGCGACGAUCUAUAGCUGGUCUGAGAGGAUGAUCAGCCACACUGGGACUGAGACACGGCCCAGACUCCUACGGGAGGCAGCAGUGGGGAAUAUUGGACAAUGGGCGCAAGCCUGAUCCAGCCAUGCCGCGUGGAUGAAGAAGGCCCUAGGGUUGUAAAAUCCUUUCGCCAGGGAAGAUAAUGACGGUACCUGGAGAAGAAGCCCCGGCUAAUUUCGUG